This 254-nucleotide ribosomal RNA is filed under the name uncultured bacterium. RNAcentral's name for it is "partial 16S ribosomal RNA". It matches the Rfam family "Bacterial small subunit ribosomal RNA", at positions 524 to 776 of the family's 1533-position model. The record is from RNAcentral.
UACGGAGGGUGCGAGCGUUGUCCGGAAUCACUGGGCGUAAAGGGCGCGUAGGUGGCCUGUGGAAGUCUGCGGUGAAAGCCCGGCGCUCAACGCCGGGUCGGCCGUGGAUACUCUCGGGCUUGAGCUUACUAGAGGCAGAUGGAAUUCCGGGUGUAGCGGUGGAAUGCGCAGAUAUCAGGAGGAACACCGGUGGCGAAGGCGGGUCUCUGGGCAGUAACUGACGCUGAGGAGCGAAAGCGUGGGGAGCGAACAGG